Molecule: ribosomal RNA, 1540 nt
Filed under: Staphylococcus aureus
Lineage: Bacteria; Bacillati; Bacillota; Bacilli; Caryophanales; Staphylococcaceae
Description: 16S ribosomal RNA
Rfam family: Bacterial small subunit ribosomal RNA
Source: RNAcentral
AGAGUUUGAUCCUGGCUCAGGAUGAACGCUGGCGGCGUGCCUAAUACAUGCAAGUCGAGCGAACGGACGAGAAGCUUGCUUCUCUGAUGUUAGCGGCGGACGGGUGAGUAACACGUGGAUAACCUACCUAUAAGACUGGGAUAACUUCGGGAAACCGGAGCUAAUACCGGAUAAUAUUUUGAACCGCAUGGUUCAAAAGUGAAAGACGGUCUUGCUGUCACUUAUAGAUGGAUCCGCGCUGCAUUAGCUAGUUGGUAAGGUAACGGCUUACCAAGGCAACGAUGCAUAGCCGACCUGAGAGGGUGAUCGGCCACACUGGAACUGAGACACGGUCCAGACUCCUACGGGAGGCAGCAGUAGGGAAUCUUCCGCAAUGGGCGAAAGCCUGACGGAGCAACGCCGCGUGAGUGAUGAAGGUCUUCGGAUCGUAAAACUCUGUUAUUAGGGAAGAACAUAUGUGUAAGUAACUGUGCACAUCUUGACGGUACCUAAUCAGAAAGCCACGGCUAACUACGUGCCAGCAGCCGCGGUAAUACGUAGGUGGCAAGCGUUAUCCGGAAUUAUUGGGCGUAAAGCGCGCGUAGGCGGUUUUUUAAGUCUGAUGUGAAAGCCCACGGCUCAACCGUGGAGGGUCAUUGGAAACUGGAAAACUUGAGUGCAGAAGAGGAAAGUGGAAUUCCAUGUGUAGCGGUGAAAUGCGCAGAGAUAUGGAGGAACACCAGUGGCGAAGGCGACUUUCUGGUCUGUAACUGACGCUGAUGUGCGAAAGCGUGGGGAUCAAACAGGAUUAGAUACCCUGGUAGUCCACGCCGUAAACGAUGAGUGCUAAGUGUUAGGGGGUUUCCGCCCCUUAGUGCUGCAGCUAACGCAUUAAGCACUCCGCCUGGGGAGUACGACCGCAAGGUUGAAACUCAAAGGAAUUGACGGGGACCCGCACAAGCGGUGGAGCAUGUGGUUUAAUUCGAAGCAACGCGAAGAACCUUACCAAAUCUUGACAUCCUUUGACAACUCUAGAGAUAGAGCCUUCCCCUUCGGGGGACAAAGUGACAGGUGGUGCAUGGUUGUCGUCAGCUCGUGUCGUGAGAUGUUGGGUUAAGUCCCGCAACGAGCGCAACCCUUAAGCUUAGUUGCCAUCAUUAAGUUGGGCACUCUAAGUUGACUGCCGGUGACAAACCGGAGGAAGGUGGGGAUGACGUCAAAUCAUCAUGCCCCUUAUGAUUUGGGCUACACACGUGCUACAAUGGACAAUACAAAGGGCAGCGAAACCGCGAGGUCAAGCAAAUCCUAUAAAGUUGUUCUCAGUUCGGAUUGUAGUCUGCAACUCGACUACAUGAAGCUGGAAUCGCUAGUAAUCGUAGAUCAGCAUGCUACGGUGAAUACGUUCCCGGGUCUUGUACACACCGCCCGUCACACCACGAGAGUUUGUAACACCCGAAGCCGGUGGAGUAACCUUUUAGGAGCUAGCCGUCGAAGGUGGGACAAAUGAUUGGGGUGAAGUCGUAACAAGGUAGCCGUAUCGGAAGGUGCGGCUGGAUCACCU